GGUAAUAAUACUACUGAUGCCUAGGAAUAUAUUUCGAGUAGGAUGUGUUUGCAAUAGCUGUACAUUUGGCAAGCUUCCAAGAAAUUAUAGGGGCACCUGAUAUACCUAAUUAUGUAGGCCAUAGUGUCUAAAGCUGUACAGUUGGGAGGCCUUGAAGAAAUUGAUAGGUUUCCUCUAUAGUAUACCCAAUAUAUUUCAAAUAGACUCACUGUAACAAUGAUAGUAUGAUACAAUGAUAACUCUAUUUUUGGCUUGCUUGCAGAAAAUUCAAGAACAGCCAAGCAGAUAGUGUGUUCAUGAAAGAACAGGAUAAGUCCCUACAAAGGAAAUGGAAUGAUGUUCAAAGAAUAUGGACCCUCUACAUUCUCUGGAUUAGUCAUUCUCCUCCUGAACAAUAAUAUUAAACAAGAUACAUGCACAAUUCAUUGCUAACUCAGAAUGGCAUAGCCAAAUUUAACAUACAAAAGACAUGCAAGCCUCAAUGCUCAUGCCAUAUUUUCAGAAUAUAACAAGAAAUUUAAUUCACAAAAAUAUAAAUAAAUAAAUAACUCUUAUGAAAUUGCAUAAUGCAGAUUUUAAUUGUGUCCCAUAGAGCAAUUAUAAACUACAUUAUAAAGUUUAUAAUAUUAAUACAUGUUAGAUAACAAAGCAGAAUUGGAAAAAUUAUGCAGCUUAAGGCUGAAAAGUUACUGAGCAGGCUUUUAAGGCAAACUGUAAGAAACCAUAGAUGAUAAUCCACAGCUUUCACUAUGUUAGUGGAACAAUCCCGUAAGUAUGCUCAAGUCAAUUGACAACUGACAGGAAAAGAAACAGAUAACUAUGCAGUCAAAAGGUUUGUAAAAAAGAAACUGAUACUUUGUGAGGUCAGAAUGAUUCACUUCUACUGCCUAAGGAAUGUGAAGAAAAAAAAGAAAUUGCAUUAGCAUUCAUAACAAUAACUGAACCAAAGCACUUAAAUGUAAUAACACCAGCUACAGGUUAAAGACAGAUUUUGCGGUCAUUCCUAAAUUAAAGAAAAAUAGUAUACACAUAUAAAUUUCUUUCAAUUACCCACAAGUGAAGAUUUAUCCACGUAAAACUGUAUCAACUUGUCAUUACACAAGCUGAAGCCUGCUAAACUUCAGUUAGAUUAUGCUAGAAUCUUGAAUGAUUCACUGUUAAUGCUUAAAUUAAUUGAAAAUUGGAAUGCACUUGCUAAGGCACCUAGAAAAUUUUUAUUGGCCUUGUACCUUGAGCACUGGCAUGGAUUAAGUGGAAGCUUGGAAAUGUUAUGCAAUUUAUAGCCAAGAUAUGACACAGGAAAUGAAGUCUCAACAGGAAUUCACAGUUGCACAUGGAUAUGGUAACAUACCUGUUUCACCAUUACACUCUCUA
RNAcentral lists this unclassified non-coding RNA (1374 nucleotides) under Hevea brasiliensis (rubber tree). Lineage: Eukaryota; Viridiplantae; Streptophyta; Magnoliopsida; Malpighiales; Euphorbiaceae. The record is from RNAcentral.